AGUGAACGCUGGCGGUAGGCCUAACACAUGCAAGUCGAACGGCAGCACAGUAAGAGCUUGCUCUUACGGGUGGCGAGUGGCGGACGGGUGAGGAAUACAUCGGAAUCUACUUUUUCGUGGGGGAUAACGUAGGGAAACUUACGCUAAUACCGCAUACGACCUACGGGUGAAAUCAGGGGAUCUUCGGACCUUGCGCGAUUGAAUGAGCCGAUGUCGGAUUAGCUAGUUGGCGGGGUAAAGGCCCACCAAGGCGACGAUCCGUAGCUGGUCUGAGAGGAUGAUCAGCCACACUGGAACUGAGACACGGUCCAGACUCCUACGGGAGGCAGCAGUAGGGAAUAUUGGACAAUGGGCGCAAGCCUGAUCCAGCCAUACCGCGUGGGUGAAGAAGGCCUUCGGGUUGUAAAGCCCUUUUGUUGGGAAAGAAAAGCAGCAGGUUAAUACCCCGCUGUUCUGACGGUACCCAAAGAAUAAGCACCGGCUAACUUCGUG
RNAcentral lists this ribosomal RNA (492 nucleotides) under uncultured bacterium. RNAcentral describes it as "partial 16S ribosomal RNA". It matches the Rfam family "Bacterial small subunit ribosomal RNA", at positions 29 to 507 of the family's 1533-position model. The record is from RNAcentral.